This 928-nucleotide long non-coding RNA is filed under the name Olea europaea subsp. europaea. Lineage: Eukaryota; Viridiplantae; Streptophyta; Magnoliopsida; Lamiales; Oleaceae. The record is from RNAcentral.
UAUCCGAAGAUGUAAGCUUCCGCUAAAACGUAUACACUUAUUACUAAACCAUCGCUUAAGUUGAGUAAAGUAAGUAGCAUUCCGAUCCAUUAAGAGUCGGGGCUUAUACUAUCUAUGACGUAAAACCUAAGUGUGGGGAUUUGAAGGACACUUUGAUAGUCAACUAAGCUAACCCAACAAAAUUCGAGUUUUUUCUAGACUAGACCUUCGGGAGGUGGAGAGUGAGUCUUCUUUUAUUUCCCCUCGUUUUCAUAUUAAUAAUUUAAUUAUUAAUAAAAAAAAAAGAAACCCUUCUCCAUCGUUAUGGAGUUCUUCUGCUCUAAUCUCAAAAAUAGAAGGUCAGCUGACUGAGGUUGCUUUGUUCCUUAUAGCACUGUGUCAAGUUCUCCUUUCAUUGGUCUCGGGUGAAGUAUCAAUUUUUCAGAUACUAACUUUGUCUUUUCUCAUCUGUCGUCCUUUGGGUUGAAUUUCUUUGACUUAACAGUUGCGUGAGUGUGGCCACUUACUGACGGAGCUCUUCAAAGGCUUCGGUUGUGACGAUCGCCGGCAGAGGUGCGGGCACUCCAGAUGACUCUUCUUAAGGAGCUGGUUGAUCUUCAGCAGGAUGAGGGAUGAGAGCGGAUGAGCUUGCGGGAGGAAGACCUGAUCGCGUGUUAACCACGGCUUUUAGUAGCGCUUCCCACAGACGGCGCCAAUAAUACUACCAAAAAUCGUACCUGUUGAUUUUUCGAACUUAAGGAUUUUGGAUGAGUAUGAUCGUAGUCUUUCGGUACCUGAAAUAAAGGCAACGAGGUAUGUUCUCGUCGCUCCUCCAAUGCUUAAGUCAGAAACUGAAUUAUGUGCGUGAGACUAUAAACUGAAAAUAAUGAGAAUGUACCUUAAUAAUGGCUCAAGGUUCUGUAUUUAUAGAGGUGCAUGGUGCUUCCUG